Molecule: microRNA, 21 nt
Filed under: Oryza sativa (Asian cultivated rice)
Lineage: Eukaryota; Viridiplantae; Streptophyta; Magnoliopsida; Poales; Poaceae
Also listed under: 4 other names
Description: osa-miR396c-3p
Gene: osa-miR396c-3p
Source: miRBase by way of RNAcentral
GGUCAAGAAAGCUGUGGGAAG